RNAcentral lists this ribosomal RNA (400 nucleotides) under phytoplankton environmental sample. Its description in RNAcentral is "partial small subunit ribosomal RNA". It matches the Rfam family "Eukaryotic small subunit ribosomal RNA", at positions 587 to 978 of the family's 1831-position model. The record is from RNAcentral.
AGCUCCAAUAGCGUAUAUUAAAGUUGCUGCAGUUAAAAAGCUCGUAGUUGGAUUUGUGGCGCGGCCGUCCGGCGGGGCUCCUUCAUUGGGGCCGUUUGUCUGGUUCUUCGGCCGCCCCAUUCUCGGGUAGUGUGUCGCUGGCAUUAGGUUGUUGGCUUCUUCACGCCCGUCGUUUACUGUGAAAAAAUUAGAGUGUUCAAAGCAGGCUUAGGCCGUUGGAUACAUUAGCAUGGAAUAAUGAGAUAGGGCCACGGCGGUCUAUUUUGUUGGUUUGCACGUUGUGGUAAUGAUUAACAGGAACGGUUGGGGGUAUUCGUAUUCAAUUGUCAGAGGUGAAAUUCUUGGAUUUAUGGAAGACGAACUACUGCGAAAGCAUUUACCAAGGAUGUUUUCAUUAAUC